This 74-nucleotide transfer RNA is filed under the name Microcoleus sp. FACHB-53. RNAcentral describes it as "tRNA-Phe". The record is from RNAcentral. RNAcentral also lists the same sequence under 1 other name. Lineage: Bacteria; Bacillati; Cyanobacteriota; Cyanophyceae; Oscillatoriales; Microcoleaceae.
UCCCCGGUAGCUCAGUUGGUAGUAGCGCCUGUUUGAAGCACAGGAGGUCGUCAGUUCGAUACUGACCUGGGGGG